UGGGUUAUUUAGUAUAAGAUGGUCUGACCUCACCACCCACCCCCUAUAACGUCUCCCUCCCAUAACCCUUCUCCCAGAAACCCUAGUAGCCGCCCUCAUAUCCCCAGCGCCGGUGAUGGCGGUGCCAUCACAACAGCCACCAGAUUAACACCCAAAACCCCCUUCUCAUCCUCUAUCAAAAUCCAUAAGCCAUCUCCCUCAAACAUCAACCAAACCCGUCGAUUCUUCGACUAAAGUUUUUCCAGUCAUGACACAACUCCAUCCAAACAUCCCCAAAUUAACACUGUAUAACCGCCUUCAUCUCCUCUAUCGAACCCCAAAUCUCGUUCCUUGAAUGUGGCUAGAACUGUUCGAAUAUAAAUUUGAAACUUUCCAGCCAAAACCCUAAUUACCCCGAAUUAAUCCAAAUUAAUAUCAUAGGGUCCCUAGGCUUCCCUCAUGAGAAAAUCAAUGUCAGUAACACUUAAUUUCCACUGUAAAUGGUUAGAUUGAGAGUUUGAGAAUUCGCCGGAUUUCUUUUUCAGUGAGUUUCUUUUCAUUUUUGUUCUUGUUUUAUUUAGUCUUAUUAGUUUGAUUCGUAUUUUUGCUGAUAAUUAAGUGUCAUUUUAAUUUCUGUAUGAUUUUAGUUGUUAGUUUAAGUUUAUAUCAAUCUAAUUGAUGGUUCACUUCUGAUAGAAGAAAUGUUUAGGUAUAACUUUGAUUUGAAUCAAUUUUGUCCUCGUAGUUUAAUUGUCUAGGUUAAUUAUUGUUUUUAAAUUUUUCAAUUCUGUUUUGUUUUCAUGUUCUGACUGACUGCUUAAUUUUAGUUCGUUUUAGUGUGAUUGGAAUUUAUUCUGUUUAAUUCAGUAUUGGUUAUAUUCUUCAAGUUGUUUUGGUUUUAGUUUAGAUUCCAUUUUGAACCUUUAAUUAGUUUAAUACUAGUUUAGAUUUAAGGGAGGUUAUAGUUGUCAGCUUUAAUUAGCAUUAAGGGGAUUGGGGUCAGUUAACUGAGGGUAGAUUAGUAAUAAAGCAGGGGUAAUUUAGGAAUUCAAAAUGGGAUAGAAUGUUGUGGUUAAUACUAGAACCUUCUAGAUUAGGAUUUUGGUUUCAAUAUCACAAAGUUAGGUUGUUUUCUUGGAACACAAGUUAAUAUGUGAGGGACUAAUAUGUAAAACUAGAAAAUCUGAAAUUAUAUCUCAUGUUGCCUAUAAAAGGCAGCCCCAAUGCCUUGAAUCACAAGUUUCGAAGCCAAAAAACUCUCUCUAAUCUCCAGAUUUGAUUUUGAAAUUCAAGAAACAAAACCCCAAAAAACAAUAGAAAACCUCUAGAAAAACAAAAAAAAAAUUCAGGAAGUACUGUUCCAUUGAAAAUUGACAGUUAGUUUUGAACUUCAGCUUCUGAAUUGCAUCAAUUAGUCUUAAUCUGUUUGCUGAUACAUUCUGGUGGUGCAUGGGUGUGUUUCGAGUGGAUCUUGGUCCUAUGAGGGCUAUUUUGGGCUGGUUUUGUUAAGUUGUUGGUCUCAGAAGUGGUUUUAGGAUUGGUAUUGUGUCUAUUUGAGUUUUUACAAGUGUAUUUGGUUCACUAUUGGUUUUAAUCAUCUUUGACUGAUUCCUGGGCUGAUUGAAUACCGAUUCUGUUGAUGUGGUUUGUUGUAUAAACUUCUGCUGAUACUCUCUUCUUCUUCUUAUGUUUCUAAUCUCCAGGUACACGUUUCCGCCUAUUUUGAUGUUAUUCUCCCAUGAAAUGGAAAUGCAAAG
This 1736-nucleotide long non-coding RNA is filed under the name Nicotiana benthamiana. Its description in RNAcentral is "long non-coding RNA (NBEN_LNC028215)". Lineage: Eukaryota; Viridiplantae; Streptophyta; Magnoliopsida; Solanales; Solanaceae. The record is from RNAcentral.